CCUACGGGCGGCUGCAGUGGGGAAUAUUGGUCAAUGGGGGGAACCCUGAUCCAGCCAUGCCGCGUGUGUGAAGAAGGCCCUCGGGUUGUAAAGCACUUUCAGUGAGGAAGAACGCCUGGUGGUUAAUACCCAUCAGGAAAGACAUCACUCACAGAAGAAGCACCGGCUAACUCCGUGCCAGCAGCCGCGGUAAUACGGAGGGUGCGAGCGUUAAUCGGAAUUACUGGGCGUAAAGCGCGCGUAGGUGGCUUGAUAAGCCGGUUGUGAAAGCCCCGGGCUCAACCUGGGAACGGCAUCCGGAACUGUCAAGCUAGAGUGCAGGAGAGGAAGGUAGAAUCCCCGGUGUAGCGGUGAAAUGCGUAGAGAUCGGGAGGAAUACCAGUGGCGAAGGCGGCCUUCUGGACUGACACUGACACUGAGGUGCGAAAGCGUGGGUAGCAAACAGGAUUAGAUACCCCAGUAGUC
This 465-nucleotide ribosomal RNA is filed under the name Vreelandella stevensii. Its description in RNAcentral is "partial 16S ribosomal RNA". It matches the Rfam family "Bacterial small subunit ribosomal RNA", at positions 338 to 795 of the family's 1533-position model. Lineage: Bacteria; Pseudomonadati; Pseudomonadota; Gammaproteobacteria; Oceanospirillales; Halomonadaceae. The record is from RNAcentral.